This 495-nucleotide ribosomal RNA is filed under the name uncultured bacterium. RNAcentral's name for it is "partial 16S ribosomal RNA". It matches the Rfam family "Bacterial small subunit ribosomal RNA", at positions 28 to 507 of the family's 1533-position model. The record is from RNAcentral.
GACGAACGCUGGCGGCGUGCCUAAUACAUGCAAGUAGAACGCUGAAGGAGGAGCUUGCUCUUCUGGAUGAGUUGCGAACGGGUGAGUAACGCGUAGGUAACCUGCCUGGUAGCGUGGGAUAACUAUUGGAAACGAUAGCUAAUACCGCAUAACAUUGACUAUUGCAUGAUAGUCAAUUAAAAGGUGCAAAUGCUCCACUACCACAUGGACCUGCGUUGUAUUAGCUAGUUGGUGGGGUAACGGCUCACCAAGGCGACGAUACAUAGCCGACCUGAGAGGGUGAUCGGCCACACUGGGACUGAGACAGGGCCCAGACGACUACGGGAGGCAGCAGGAGGGAAACUUCGGCAAUGGACGGAAGACUGACCGAGCAACGCCGCGGGAGGGAAGAAGGUUGUCGGAUCGUAAAGCUCUGUUGUAAGAGAAGAACGAGUGUGAGAGUGGAAAGUACACAGUGUGACGGUAUCUUACCAGAAAGGGACGGCUAACUACGUG